AUUUUUAGGAUAGAUGCUUUUGUAGGAUUAGGUAGUUGGUAGGAAUCAAAGCUUACCAAGCCAAUGAUGCUUAAACGGUCUUUGAGGAUGAACGUUCACAGUAGAACUGAAAUAAUGUCUAAACCCUUUAGGGGCAGCAGUGAGGAAUAUUGGACAAUGGGCGAAAGCUCGAUCCAGUUAUGUUCCGUGGAGGAUGACAACUUAAGGGUUGUAAACUUCUUUUUUAAUGAGGAUAAUGACGUUAAUUAAAAAGUUAGCCCUGGCUAACUUCGUGCCAGCAGCCGCGGUAAUACGGAGAGGGCUAGUGUUAUUCGUCAUGAUUGGGCGUAAAGGGCGUGUAGGUUGUUAAAUAAGUUUAUUUUUAAAAUCUUGGUUGUAACCUGAGAAUAAAAUAAAUACUGUUUAACUAGAGUUUGAUAAAGGAUAGCAGAAUUUUUGGAGUAGAGAUAAAAUGCGGAAAUACCAGAAGGAAUGCUUAAAGCGAAGGCAGCUAUCUAGGUAAAACUGACACUGAGGCGCGAAAGCAUGGGUAGCGAAAGGGAUUAGAUACCCCAUUAGUCCAUGCCCGGGAUGAUG
This 576-nucleotide ribosomal RNA is filed under the name uncultured organism. RNAcentral describes it as "bacterial SSU rRNA". It matches the Rfam family "Bacterial small subunit ribosomal RNA", at positions 214 to 811 of the family's 1533-position model. The record is from RNAcentral.